Molecule: RNase P RNA, 371 nt
Filed under: Candidatus Peregrinibacteria bacterium CG10_big_fil_rev_8_21_14_0_10_55_24
Lineage: Bacteria; Candidatus Peregrinibacteriota
Description: RNase P RNA component class A
Rfam family: Bacterial RNase P class A
About the family: Ribonuclease P (RNase P) is a ubiquitous endoribonuclease, found in archaea, bacteria and eukarya as well as chloroplasts and mitochondria. Its best characterised activity is the generation of mature 5'-ends of tRNAs by cleaving the 5'-leader elements of precursor-tRNAs.
Source: RNAcentral
CUGCUCUUUUGGGCGAUCGCCCCCGGCUUACGCCGCGGGAGGAACGUCCGGGCACCAACGGAACGCUGAGUGGGUAACACCCAUCUGCCCGUCAUAUACCUAAAAGACGGGUACGGACCAGUGCCACAGAGACGAGCUCCGCAUUCGCGGGGUGUGAAACGCCUCGGAAACCGAGGACCCUAAGCGCAAGCUUUGGGUUGGUAAACUUCUCGGUGGUGCAAGGAGGAAUUGGGCCAACGGAAAUUCGCGGUGGUUCCGCCGCGCCGCAGGCCCCUCCGCAUUGAGGUUGUGAGGCAACUCCAACCCCAGAGAGAUGAUCGUCAUCCCACGAAAGUGGGACACAGAACCCGGCGUACAGAGAGAGCAGACCC